Non-coding RNA from Procambarus clarkii (red swamp crayfish), 315 nucleotides. NCBI's taxonomy places the organism in Eukaryota, Metazoa, Arthropoda, Malacostraca, Decapoda, Cambaridae. The record is from RefSeq and is a predicted model, not a curated record.
AACUGUUAUAAUAGCUGCAAGCCUCUCCAUACAAAACUUCCAGGCAGCAUUUGCCCCAAACUCUCCAUAUUAACCAACAAAUUCAAUCCUUGAAAUCAACACAACUGCCAGGAAAGUCGGCACCAUAUUUGAAUGCAUCGACUAGCACAUCCAUUGAUGAUGAUGUACAAAUAUUUGAUGAAGUCAGACGAAUCGAGCCAUUGUUGAGGGAAAUGCAGCUGCACUCUGCAUAUCAGAAAAUGACUUGAUUGAAUAUCAUUUAUUAAACAUGGUUACUCGCCAAAGAGAACACUGGUAAAAUCGGAAGAGCAACGU